This 468-nucleotide ribosomal RNA is filed under the name uncultured bacterium. RNAcentral's name for it is "partial 16S ribosomal RNA". It matches the Rfam family "Bacterial small subunit ribosomal RNA", at positions 28 to 507 of the family's 1533-position model. The record is from RNAcentral.
GACGAACGCUGGCGGCGUGCUUAACACAUGCAAGUCGAACGGAAAGGCCCUGCUUUUGUGGGGUGCUCGAGUGGCGAACGGGUGAGUAACACGUGAGUAACCUGCCCUUGACUUUGGGAUAACUUCAGGAAACAGGGGCUAAUACCGGAUAGGAGCUCCUGCUGCAUGGUGGGGGUUGGAAAGUUUCGGCGGUGGGGGAUGGACUCGCGGCUUAUCAGCUUGUUGGUGGGGUAGUGGCUUACCAAGGCUUUGACGGGUAGCCGGCCUGAGAGGGUGACCGGCCACCUUGGGCCUGAGAUACGGCCCAGACUCCUACGGGAGGCAGCAGUGGGGAAUAUUGCACAAUGGGCGGAAGCCUGAUGCAGCAACGCCGCGUGCGGGAUGACGGCCUUCGGGUUGUAAACCGCUUUCGCCUGUGACGAAGCGUGAGUGACGGUAAUGGGUAAAGAAGCACCGGCUAACUACGUG